UUUGGAGUCUGGGAGAUUCAUCUUCCUGAGUUCAAAUCUGGCUUCAGACACUUACUAGCUAGGUAACUCUGAGCAGGUCACUUAACCCUGCAUGCCUCAGUUUCCUCAUCUGUAAAAUAAUCUGGAGAAGGAAAUGUCAAACCACUCCAGUAUCUGUGCCCAGAAGACUCCAAAAUGACUAAACAACAGCAAUAAAGUCAAGAGACCACCAGCAAGGAUUAGUUUCUAUUUGAGUCUGACACUAUUGGGAAGGAAUCUCAAACGUGGGCCAGCCUGAAAGAGCUACAAGUGGGAAUUAACCCAGAAGGCAUUUUGACCUUGAUUGUUUCAUUCAAAUGUAGCAUAAUGAGAUAGAAAGCUACUCUCUCAGAGUCCAGAGAGACCUCAAUUCAAGUCCUGCCUCUGACUCUUCUUAAUUGAAUUUCACUUCUCAGUGCCUCCAGGCAACUCUCCACUACUCCAAUUUGUAGAAUAGGUGUCAGUCUGCCACUAGAGAAGACAUUUCUUCAUUGGGAUUUCCUUAAACCAAAGAAAUCAACACCCACCCACUCUUUUUUUUCAUUUUGUUAAAAUGAUGCAGUGGAUAAAAUGCUGGACCAGGAGUCAGAAGAUUCAUCUUCCCCCAAAGAGAUAAUAAGGAAAAAGACCUGCACAAAAAUAUUUAUAGCCACGCUCUUUGUGGUGGCAAAAAAUGGGAAAAUGGAGGGGGGAGGGGUUGUCCAUCGAUUGGAGAAUGACUGAAUAUUAUUGUGCUCAAAGGAAUAAUGAACUGGAGGGAUUCCAUGUGACCUGGAACGACCUCCAGGAAGUGAUGCAGAGUGAAAGGAGCAGAACCAGGAGAACUUUGUACACAGAGACCGAAUGUAAUGGACUUCUCUACUAGCAGCAAUGCAGUGAUCCAGGGCAAUCCAGAGGAAUUUAGAAGAACCAAUCCACAUCCAGAGAAAGAACUGUGGGAGCAGAAAUGCAUUAGAAAAAUAUAUUAUCGACCACCCUAUGCAAUAGGAUCACUCUUCUACAAUAUGAAAUACAUGGAAAUAGGUUUUAAACAAUGUUACGCUUAUAACCCACUGGAAUUGCUUUUUGGUUUUGGGAAGGGGGAGGAGAAAGCGGGGGCAGGGAGGGAUCAUGAAAUCGUGUAACCAUGGAAAAAUAUUCUCAAUGAACAUUUUUUUUUUAAGUCUCAUCUUCCUCAGUUCAAAUCUGGCUUCAGAUACUUACUAGCUGUAUAACUCUGGACAAGUCACUUAACUGUUUGCCUCAGUUUGUAAAGUAAGCUGGAGAAGGAAAUAGUGAGCCAUUCCUUAGCCUAGAAAAUUCCAAAUGAGGUCACAAUGAGUCAGACGUGAAUGAAUUGAAAAAAAAAAUUAUAAACAGGGAUGACAUUUCUAGGGUAAAGCCUCCAUAAUGAAUCCUAUCUCCGGAGGGCAAUGAGCAAGCUGGGAAGCAAGACAAAGGAAGAAGAGAACCGAGUAGAUGAGCCUUUGCAGGAGAUCCAAGAAGAUGCUGAGAAAAGCUUCCAGAACGUGCCAUGGCAAUAAGAGCAUUUCAGCAGCCAGCUCAGAUCUUGCUCCAAGAACCCCAUCCAGGGAAUUCUUGAGGCUUGUGGAUGGGGGAGCCUUGACCUACUGGAAGGAAAGGGGGGCAGGUGUAUCUCGGCUCUCUCGCACCCCCCCACGUUCUUUCUCUUUAGGUGAAGAGGGGGCCCAUCAGUUGGAAGGAAAGCAUGGGGCACCGCACAGUUGUGGGAAUGGAAGGUGAUUUCCUCGACUGUACAGGCUGUUCCAAAAGCCUUACAGCGAUGAGAAGCUUUAAUAGCCAUUAAAGACUGUUGGGGCGCUCCAUAUGGGCUCUAGUGUGAGUCCUUUCUGCCUCCUUUAUUGCCCUCAUGGCACCAUUUCCCCCCAGUGUUCUCACUGUCCCAUUUUUCUCUCCAUGGAGGAUCUUGGUGAGGUUAAAAGGCUCUCUAUUGCUGUUUCUGAAACUGUUCUCAUUGGGAAGUCUAGUUCCUCUUUCCUCUCUCAGUUACCCCUCCUUCAUUGAAGAUGGAAGGAAGAAUGGAAAGGGGGCCACCUGCCAUUUCAUCUACCUGCCAGACUGGGGGAGGAUCUUGCUCUUUUUCAGCUCUACAUGAUGCCAACUGUUCAAAAUCUCCACUCAGACCCUUAGGGAUACUCCUACAAGUCCAUUGACUUGUCACACAAGUAUAGACUUGGGGUUUUCACAGUUCAGAGGGACCUUGGAGGCAAUCUGUCGCUCACCAGCCAACGUCCAACCUCCAAUGACAAAAAACUUCCUCUUCCCAGGGCAACUCAUUCCAGUUUGGGGACACGAUGACGACAAGGAAUUUCCUUCUUAAGCUGUAAUAGAAUUGGUACGAAGUUCCACGGCAGAAGAGCAGAAGAGAAGGCUGUGGGAGUUGACUUGCCCAGGGUCCCCAGCUAGGAAAUGUCGGAAGCCACAUUUGAACUCGGGCCCUCCCAUCUCUGGGCCUGGCUCUAUCCAGGGAGCCACCCCGCUGCCCUGCAGGGCCAUAUGUGGCUGAGGGUCAAAUACCUUUACACCAAUGGCCUUGAAGAGGGCUGGAUGUCUCAGUGGCAGCUCCACCAUUUCCUUUAUCUGAGCCAACUGUUUCCGGCAACCACCAAUAUCAUCAUAUCCCACUUCAUUGAGAGAUUCCUCUUCAUCCUGGGCAAAAGGAAGUAUAUAUAAAUAUGUGUGUGUCAGCAAAAAUAAGGACUCAAAUUUGUCCAAUGUCAGAACAUAAUUUCAGGGUAAAAGAAGGCCCAGAGAACAUAUUUCCAUAAGGAAUCCUGGUCCUGGAUCCCAAAAAUCCCCUAGGAAGGUCUCUAACAAAGCUACUUAACUGGCUACUGAAAACAAUUCUCUUAGGAGACUCUCCCAAAGACCCAAACUAGGAAAUUAAAGACCUUGAGAGUUCUGAAGGCACUAUUCCCUAGGAAGCUAAACUGUCACUGUGGUCUGAGUAUCCAUUCCCAGGUGUUCUAAAAUUAACCUACGGAAGGGAUUUCAGUACAAAACACUGAAGGCUACACAUCCUGCUGAUUAUUGGCCCACACCUAACCCCAUACUUCUAUAAAGAAAUCUAGAGAGGUAGAACUAGAGAAAACUAUCCUAAAUCUCAAGGAGCAGUUUAGCAUGAGUUUAAACAUGAGGAUGGAGCUCUUCAGCCCCUCUGUUUAUCAUAUUACACCUAACAUAUGAAUUCUCUACUUGGCUUCCCCAUCACUCCUACUCUAAGCCAUUCUUCCCACUCAAAUGAUUGAUAAGCAUUGACUAUGGGAAUGGGGGAAAUGAAAAAAGGAGCUUACUUCUCGUUUGAUGGGUUCCCCUUCACAAUGGAUCACUGUAUCUGGAGCAACAAUGCAAUAGGGGCUGGGAUCUGUCUCUACCACUUUGAACUCUACAGCACGCAUUCCACCACGGACAAGGAAGAUGUCACCUGUAGAAUCAUUGUGGUAUAUCCAGUUAUUAUAGGAAUAAUAGUAUAGCAAUAGUAAGCUAGAAAAGACCAAGUGUGAAGUUCAACCACUAACACUGGUUCCCAGAACUCUGAAAAGCACAUGGUAUACAGGUCCUGAAACUUGGUCAAGGGAAAAAAUAUUAAACUUAGAAAGACUCCUUUGCCACCUGGAUACUCUGUAUAGAAGUCUUUCCAGAAAUCCCAAUAAGUGUCCAUUUUUGCCAUAGGUGAUUAAUAGCCUAAACUUUGAAACAGAGGAAGAAGGGCCAAAAUUAAGUUUCAAUGUAUUAGAGGCAGGAGGAAUCAUGUACUCUGUAGAAAUCAGAAGUGGGCAAACUGGCAAAAACCUUACCUAGGAAAGGUGUUGAGGACCACCAGCAACCCAACCACCACCAUGGCCUAGCCUGGCCUAAGAGAAAUAGAAGAAGUAUCUUUUCUCUCCUGGGGCACAGGAGAUACACCUAUGUGAGUCGGGGCAAAUGGGUAUAAGGAGUUAGAGGGCAAAAUCAGGUGUUAAGCAUUUUCUAGAGGUCAUGGGUACCUGCACCAAGUAACCCUGCCCAUAAUCAAUGACUGUUAUGAAAAUGAAUUUCCUCCUAGUUCAUUUCUCAAAUCCCUAAACUUACCUUUCCGGAUAGGUCGAUAAGCUUCCAGGAAGUACGGCUUGAGGUACACCUCAAAGAGAUUGCCGGUGAUGCCUUCCACCGUGUCAUCGAUGGGCAGCACAUGGAUACGUUUGCCGUACUUCACAUCU
Molecule: non-coding RNA, 4238 nt
Organism: Monodelphis domestica (gray short-tailed opossum)
Lineage: Eukaryota; Metazoa; Chordata; Mammalia; Didelphimorphia; Didelphidae
Source: RefSeq, a predicted model, not a curated record